Molecule: ribosomal RNA, 574 nt
Filed under: Colletotrichum fructicola
Lineage: Eukaryota; Fungi; Ascomycota; Sordariomycetes; Glomerellales; Glomerellaceae
Description: eukaryotic LSU rRNA
Rfam family: 5.8S ribosomal RNA (bases 221-374)
Source: RNAcentral
AAAAGUCGUAACAAGGUCUCCGUUGGUGAACCAGCGGAGGGAUCAUUACUGAGUUUACGCUCUAUAACCCUUUGUGAACAUACCUAUAACUGUUGCUUCGGCGGGUAGGGUCUCCGCGACCCUCCCGGCCUCCCGCCUCCGGGCGGGUCGGCGCCCGCCGGAGGAUAACCAAACUCUGAUUUAACGACGUUUCUUCUGAGUGGUACAAGCAAAUAAUCAAAACUUUUAACAACGGAUCUCUUGGUUCUGGCAUCGAUGAAGAACGCAGCGAAAUGCGAUAAGUAAUGUGAAUUGCAGAAUUCAGUGAAUCAUCGAAUCUUUGAACGCACAUUGCGCCCGCCAGCAUUCUGGCGGGCAUGCCUGUUCGAGCGUCAUUUCAACCCUCAAGCUCUGCUUGGUGUUGGGGCCCUACAGCUGAUGUAGGCCCUCAAAGGUAGUGGCGGACCCUCCCGGAGCCUCCUUUGCGUAGUAACUUUACGUCUCGCACUGGGAUCCGGAGGGACUCUUGCCGUAAAACCCCCCAAUUUUCCAAAGGUUGACCUCGGAUCAGGUAGGAAUACCCGCUGAACUUAAG